RNAcentral lists this ribosomal RNA (793 nucleotides) under uncultured archaeon. RNAcentral's name for it is "bacterial SSU rRNA". It matches the Rfam family "Archaeal small subunit ribosomal RNA", at positions 85 to 879 of the family's 1478-position model. The record is from RNAcentral.
ACUGCUCAGUAACACGUGGACAACCUGCCCUUAGGUUGGGUAUAAACCCGGGAAACUGGGUAUAAUACCCGAUAGGUCUCGAUUGCUGGAAUGCAUCGAGAUUUAAAGCUCCGGCGCCUAAGGAUGGGUCUGCGGCCUAUCAGGUAGUAGUGGGUGUAGCGUACCUACUAGCCUACGACGGGUACGGGUUGUGAGAGCAAGAGCCCGGAGAUGGAUUCUGAGACACGAAUCCAGGCCCUACGGGGUGCAGCAGGCGCGAAAACUUUACAAUGCUGGCAACAGCGAUAAGGGAACCUCGAGUGCCAGGUUACAAAUCUGGCUGUCGAGAUGCCUAAAAAGCAUUUCAUAGCAAGGGCCGGGCAAGACCGGUGCCAGCCGCCGCGGUAACACCGGCGGCUCGAGUGGUAACCGUUAUUAUUGGGUCUAAAGGGUCUGUAGCCGGCCGGAUAAGUCUCUUGAGAAAUCUGGCAGCUUAACUGUCAGGCUUUCAGGAGAUACUGUCUGGCUCGAGGCCGGGAGAGGUGAGAGGUGCUUCAGGGGUAGGGGUGAAAUCUUGUAAUCCUUGAAGGACCACCAGUGGCGAAGGCGUCUCACCAGAACGGACCUGACGGCAAGGGACGAAAGCUAGGGGCACGAACCGGAUUAGAUACCCGGGUAGUCCUAGCCGUAAACGAUACUCGCUAGGUGUCGGCCACGGAGCGACCGUUGUCGGUGCCGUAGGGAAGCCGUGAAGCGAGCCACCUGGGAAGUACGGCCGCAAGGCUGAAACUUAAAGGAAUUGGCGGGGGAGCAC